AUGGCCAACGAGGGCUUGAUCCCCCACGGAGCUGCGAGGCUUCCGGGGAAGGAGUGGCAGCCCCAGCCAGAAGAGGGUGAGUGUGUGCUUCUGGCCACCCAUGUUGAUCGCGGGUUUUCCUUGCCGCCGAGUGUUUUCUUUCGUGGCUUUUUGAACUUCUUCGGAGCGCAGCUCCACCACUUUACCCCAAACUCCAUUGCCUAUCUUGCUGCGUUCGUGUCCAUGUGUGAGGGUUUCUUGGGCUGUCGACCGCACUGGGGUUUGUUCAAACAUAUAUUCACGUGUCGAUCUCAGACCGUGAAGAAGGCGAGCCCCGGUGAUGAGAGAACCCGAGUCGUCCAAAUGUGCGGGGGCCUGGGGAUUCAGGUGAGGAAUAAGAGCACCUUCCCGCCCAUGACCUUUCCCGAGUCCGUUAGAGGCUGGCAGUCGACUUGGUUCUACUGCCAGGUCCAGUCGACGCCAGGGCAGUCGAGUGGACUCCCUCCGUUCACCAUGGACCGAGUGAGCAAGCCUUCCCCUCUGAAGCUGAUUCCGGAGGAGAGAGCCGACGUGAAGAUGUUGAUGGAGCGCGUGGUGCAGUUGGUUCGGGAGGGAGUGACAGGCAUGGACCUCUUGGAGGUUUUCCUCAGGCGUCGCAUCCAGCCUCUCCAGUUCCGGAGCCACUGCAUGUGGUUGUACUGUGGGACCGAAGACGAGACUAGAGUCCAUCCAGAAGCAGUCGAUGAUGUCACUCUGGAAAGAUGGAUGGCGGCCGUCACCGGAAACAAGGACAACCCGCGCGGAGCCAGAAGGGUUCCUCCACUCGACCACAACAGCGACUCAAACAAGGUACACUUGCUCUGCUCUCCACUGCGCCCUCGUCGUAUUCAUUCCUGUUAA
RNAcentral lists this ribosomal RNA (879 nucleotides) under Triticum aestivum (bread wheat). RNAcentral's name for it is "partial small subunit ribosomal RNA". Lineage: Eukaryota; Viridiplantae; Streptophyta; Magnoliopsida; Poales; Poaceae. The record is from RNAcentral.